UUCAGAUUGCAUAAAUCUUUUGCCUUUUACUAAAGAUUUCCGGGGA
RNAcentral lists this small nuclear RNA (46 nucleotides) under Crocodylus porosus (Australian saltwater crocodile). RNAcentral describes it as "U5 spliceosomal RNA (ENSCPRG00005019164.1)". It matches the Rfam family "U5 spliceosomal RNA", at positions 16 to 61 of the family's 117-position model. From Rfam's summary of the family: U5 RNA is a component of both types of known spliceosome. The precise function of this molecule is unknown, though it is known that the 5' loop is required for splice site selection and p220 binding, and that both the 3' stem-loop and the Sm site are important for Sm protein binding and cap methylation. Lineage: Eukaryota; Metazoa; Chordata; Crocodylia; Crocodylidae. The record is from Rfam by way of RNAcentral.